GUCUUAUAUAACUAUAGUUCUAUGAGUUCAUGAUUGUGUUUUUAACUGGGUGAUCAGCUCCUUGAGGAUCAAUAUUAAUUCUUUUUGUCUCCUGUAUAAGGGCUAACCUAGUGCUUUUCACAAAGUGGAAAUACUUUACUUAAAAAAUACUUUUUCUUGUUUCGAGCAGUGAGAUCCUGUGUUUCAGCUUUUGUGGUUGCUACUGUUCUAGAUACAUAUCUGAAGGUAGUCUGCUUAUAUGGAAAUAGGUUAGUAUACACUAACUGUAUAUAUAAUAUAUUUAUUUCUGUUUAAGAAUGUUUAAACAAUCUUAAAAAUGGGAUGGGAGGAAUCUUUGGAAAAUAAAAAAAAGAAUAGGUUAAGACUCUCCUCCCCAUGGACAAAAUAGGUUAGUAUAUACAUUUAUAUGCUAAUAUAAAUGUAAAUUAUGAUAUAUACCAAUAUAAAAUAAAUUAUGAUAUUUUCUGUUUUUAGUUUAUCAUGAAAUAUUUUUGGACCUGUCAUUCUCUGUUUAUUCCAAUCAUAAUUAUUUGCUAAGCAGUGUUUGGUUUACAAUUGAAAGGAUUAGAGCUGGUAUAGGUAAGGUGAUGUGAGUUGCCAAAGAUUUUCACAGAAUCAUGGUUCUCUGGAGUUCCUCAUUUUGGUAAGUGUGUCUUUGUUAGAGUUUCAGUGACUUUCAUUGGAAGGAUUAAGUAGGAUUAAAUAAAAAAAACAAAGUGAUUAUAACAGUCCAAUACAUCAUAGUGCUAUGUAAGUCUUAAAAGUCAUUGUUGUCAUCUUCACCAUCAUCACCAUCAACAUCAUCUUCACUCAUGUCCUUCCAUUUCUAGUUGUCAGUAAACAUCACUGUUGAAAAUGGUUCCUAAACUAACAUCAAUGUUGCACUUGGUGGUGUGGCCUUAGUAGAGGAUUUACAACCUUAGAUUUCAUACACUUAGUGGAUACACUUCAUUAAUGUACUACUGGUACCAUUGUUUCUCAUGCAUCUUAUGUAACAUUUUUGAGGGGCAGUAUAGUGUCCUCUUCUUGAAGAAAGUAUGUGAUACUCCCUGCACAAACCUCCUUUUACCUCCAACUCGAUCUUAUACUAUUCAAUAUCCUUGAUUCAAAACUGGAUUCUAUUUACAUGCCAUUUAAUAAAUUCAACUAUUUUUUUAAGUUCAUAUUAAAGUUAGUGAAAAUUAAUAGUCCUGAAACAUUAGAACUAAAAUUAAAUUUGUGGAUGAUAAGCAACAAUUUUUUACAAAUUAUUUUAUUCUUUAAUUUAAAUACACCUAACAAUUAUUUUUUUAAAAAAGAAAGAAGUUAUUUGUUAUUUAAAUAAAAAAAACAAAGUUUAGGUGAAACAUUUUGUUAGUUAUCCAUCUCUUCUUUCCGAGUCAAAUGACACAUAUUUGAACAGGGAUAAAUGUUCACUUGAAUUACAACCAUUUAAACAGAUUUAUCAAGAAAGCUGCAUGUGCAGAAAUAUUUACUUGACUUUAUUUUUAUGAAUUCCUAAUAUAGCCUUGAGCGCAGACACUUCUCAACACAUGAUUCUUUUAAUUCAAGUUUUCUGUAAUUCAUAUUUUUCUAGUAAAAGUUAUUGACUAUAAUAAUAAGAAUUUAAAAUAAAUGGAAUAUUUACAAAAUAUUUGUGUGGGUUGAUCACACAGGAAUCAUUCAUUUUUAAUAUUUGAUCAAUCCCAAUAUUACUGAGCAUAUACCCUGAAUUUAAAUGUUAUACUCACACAGCUAAGUUUAAGAAAGGGGAGGGUGGUUUAGGAUAUAACUCAAUGGUAGAGUACUUGCCUAGCAUGCGUGAAACUCUCUGUUUGAUCCCCAAUACUUAAAGAAAAAAUGAAGUGACAGUUAACAUAUUUUCUUUUUUUUUUAUUUUCCAAAGAUUCCUCCCAUCCCAUUUUUAAGAUAGUUUAAACAUUCUUAAACAGAUCUCUGAAUAUUCAAAGAAAUACAAUGAAAAUAUUGGGGAGUGUUCUAGUUAGUUAGUUUUUGUUGUUGUUGUUGUUUGCUGCUGUGACCAAAAGACAUGACAAGAACAAUUUUAGAAGAGGAAAUGUUUAUUUGGGGGCUCACAGUUUCAGAGGUUUGUUUUUUUUUUUUUUUCCAUAGAUGACCAACUCCAUUGCCCUGGGCCAGAUAUGAGGAAGAACAUCGUGAUAGAAGGGCAUGACAGAGGAAAGCACCUCAGGACAUGACACCAGGAAGCAGAGUCAGAGAAAGAGAGAGAGAGAGAGAGAGAGAGACUCUCCUCCCAAUGGACAAAAUACAUACCCCAAUGACACAUCCCAAAUCACCCACCUCCUCUAGCCACACCAUAUAUGCCUACAUUUACAACCCAGUUAAUCUGUAUCAGUGGAUUAAUACAUUGAUUAGGUUAAGGCUCUUAUUUCAUCUCUAAACCCCCUUGCAGGGUCUCACACAUGAACUUUGGGUGGACACUUCAUAUCUAAACCAUAACAGGGAGGCAACAUGUUUUCCUAGUCCUUCAUUUAUUAUAAACUUUAAUUCGUAGUCAGGAAAAAGUGGAAGAAUAAUAUUUUGGAAUAAAGUUGAAAUGAUUUAAUACUUUUCAUUUUUAAAUGUAUUGUGCUUACUUCUCUCAUAUUGCUACUAAUUAAAGUGUAAGAAUCUCAGAAACAGAGAAGCAUUCCCAUAGUACUUUCUUGAACAACAGUGUCACUGAAACACAAAGGAAUGGUAAGGUAAUUUUGAUGAAAAUUUCUGAUUGUGUGCUACAUAUAGUUCUGAAAAAUGUUUAUAAUUUUAAUAAAUAAUAGUAUCAAGUUACUUCGUGGAUUAAUUGAUAUAAUAGACCCACUGGUUACUUAUAUUUUAAUUGAUACAUGAUCUAAGCAAAUCAUAAUGGAAGUCUAUAGCAAUAAGAACAGAGUUUCACAAAAAUAC
RNAcentral lists this long non-coding RNA (2907 nucleotides) under Marmota monax (woodchuck). Lineage: Eukaryota; Metazoa; Chordata; Mammalia; Rodentia; Sciuridae. The record is from RNAcentral.